Molecule: non-coding RNA, 189 nt
Organism: Macaca mulatta (Rhesus monkey)
Lineage: Eukaryota; Metazoa; Chordata; Mammalia; Primates; Cercopithecidae
Source: RefSeq, a predicted model, not a curated record
AUAGCCAUGCCCUUGUUAUAAUUCCCUCUUCGUGUGUGGAUGGGACCUAAUGACUUGUUUCUGAUAAAUGGAAUACUACAAAAAUGAUGAGAUGUCACUUCCAUGAUUCGGUCAGAAAGGACAUCUCCAGUGGUUGCAAAUGGUGUCCCUCAGAGGAAGCAGUAUCCACCACUUAUCCACAUUGGCCAU